UAAGAAAAGAGAGUUAAAAAGUACGUGAAACCGUUGAAAGGGAAGCGAAUGGAGUUAGCAAUUCGCCCCACGUACGCGCUCUCGAUCCGCAUGGACGAGACGUGUGCGGGUGCGAUGCGCGGUCGGCGCACUUCUGGCGAGCGAGCGUCAGCGUCGGUUGUCGACGGGCGACAAGGCACAAGGAAGGUAGAUGACCUACGGCCGGUUGUUAAGNCCUGUGCUCGAAUAGCUCGACGGCGACCGUGGUCGGCGACGCGUGCCUGGUGACUCGAACGAUCGGUCCGGCAUGUCGACCGUGGCGGACGGCACGCCUGUGCGUCGAACUGCUGCCGGUCGAUCGGACGAUUUCGCACACUACGCGUCGAAGAUGCUGACGGCCAUACGGCUCCAUCCGACCCGUCUUGAAACACGGACCAAGGAGUCUAACAUGUGCGCGAGUCUCCGGGUGAUCGAAACCCGUGGGCACAAUGAAAGUAAAGAUCGUCUAGACGAUUGAGGUGAGAAGCAAUUUGCGGCAUCAUCGACCGACCUAUUCUGCUCUCAGAAAGGUUUGAGUAAGAGCGUAUCUGUUGGGACCCGAAAGAUGGUGAACUAUGCCUGAAUAGGGUGAAGCCAGCGGAAACACUGGUGGAAGCUCGUAGCGAUUCUGACGUGCAAAUCGAUCGUCGAAUUUGGGUAUAGCGGCGAAAGACUAAUCGAACCAUCUAGUAGCUGGUUCCCUCCGAAGUUUCCCUCAGGAUAGCUGGAGUUCAUAUGCAGUUU
RNAcentral lists this ribosomal RNA (762 nucleotides) under cf. Thesea sp. AR250. RNAcentral describes it as "eukaryotic LSU rRNA". It matches the Rfam family "Eukaryotic large subunit ribosomal RNA", at positions 375 to 1001 of the family's 3401-position model. Lineage: Eukaryota; Metazoa; Cnidaria; Anthozoa; Malacalcyonacea; Plexauridae. The record is from RNAcentral.